CAGAGACUCCCAUGUGGUCCUCACUCCCCAUGUGCAAGCCAGACAGUCUUCCCCUCUUGCUAAAAAAAGCUUCUCUGUUCACUGCACACUUUCUUUCUCUCUGCUCUCCAUCACCAUUCUACUCAAAGAUUCUAACUUUCCUUCAACAAUGUAAUGAGCCCCCUCUUUCUCUCUAUCGAUCUCCUGAUCAUUUGGAAUAAUAUGGAACCAACUUCUUGAAAGUUUACACCUUUCUGCAAUACUUUGUACAAAACCCUCUCUCUCUCUCUCUCUCUCUCUCUCUCUCUCUCUCUCUGUGAUUGUGUAGUUGUUUCAAGAUGAAGAAGAAAACACAUUUUGGGUUCAAGCUUUUAACUAUUUUCCUUGCUGGGUUUUCUUCAUUUUUGCUGUGUGCCAACUCUCAACUAAGUUCGAGCAAUGAUGCUUCAGUAAUGCUGGAUCUCAAGAAGAGCCUCAACCCAUCUGAAUCUCUCGGAUGGUCCGACCCUGACCCCCGCAAGUGGAGCCAUGUUGGCUGGUCCGAUGACAAAAGGGUGACUCGGAUCCAACUGGGUCACCUCAAUCUUGAAGGUACGCUUCCUCUAAGCCUCCAAAACCUCACUAAACUAGAGCGUUUAGAGCUUCAGUGGAACAAAAUCUCAGGUCCUCUUCCGAGC
RNAcentral lists this long non-coding RNA (656 nucleotides) under Prunus dulcis (almond). Its description in RNAcentral is "sRNA ncRNA". The record is from RNAcentral. Lineage: Eukaryota; Viridiplantae; Streptophyta; Magnoliopsida; Rosales; Rosaceae.